Molecule: long non-coding RNA, 924 nt
Organism: Anolis sagrei ordinatus
Lineage: Eukaryota; Metazoa; Chordata; Lepidosauria; Squamata; Anolidae
Source: RefSeq, a predicted model, not a curated record
AAACAGGAACGGUUGAGAGGCAGCAUGUUAGGCUGCCACGGACCAUGUCAACAUCAGUUCUAAGAAUGGAUCAUCCUGCAGGGGUCAUAAAAGAAGAGGAAGGCGAGUAAAAACCUGCUUAAAAGAGGAACAGCGAAACGGAGCCGAUCAUAUGAUGCAGGGCAACUUCUGGUGGCAGUGUGGAGAAACGAAGCCCAGAGUACCUUUGGCACAAACUGGAGAAACACAGGGGAAAGACAGACCUGAUUGAGUAAAGGAUGUGGGAUGGCAGCAGACAAACCUGGCCAGGAGGGAAACAAGUACCACAACACAACCCUGAACAUACCUGAUUUCAUCUGAUGAUUUGGAAGACAAACCCCAGAGAACUGUUGCCAGGUAGUGAAGAUGACAGAUGGCAUACGAGGACUCAAGGCAGCAAAAAUGUGGCCAAGAAUGAUCCAUCCAUAGAAGGCAUGCCAAGGUUUCAGCAAAUCAGAAAAAGGACUUCGUUGAACAGAAAACCAAUACAGAAUGAGACAAAACCACAUCUGAAUCCAUAUUUUGACUGUAUGGCUUAGUCUUCUUUUUAAUUUUUGAAGGUCUUUGUUAAUGGUCUGAUCAGAGCCAGAUUCUGAUGAAUAAAAUGUAAUGGGGAGGAGGGAGGGAGGAUAGAAAAGAUCAUUGUGCAUAAUGUCAAACAGUUGGAUAAGAGAGCUGGAGAAAGCAGGCUUUGUUCAGUCUGAUGUCAAAUUGGCUGUAUCUCCUAGUCCUUGAAAUUAUCUAAUUGCAGAAUAUUUUUAGUUCCAUGUCUGGGCUAGGAAUCUUUAACCCAAUGUCUCCCUUCUAGUUUUAAAAUCUGUCUGUUAUAAUUGAAAAGUCAAUACGAUGAAAAUGCCGUUGUUUGAUUCAGAGAGUGUCUUUAAUAAAAGCAUUUGCAGGGUUAAA